Molecule: long non-coding RNA, 765 nt
Organism: Zalophus californianus (California sea lion)
Lineage: Eukaryota; Metazoa; Chordata; Mammalia; Carnivora; Otariidae
Exons: 4
Source: RefSeq, a predicted model, not a curated record
GAGAGCAACGCCAUGGACGGCUGGGGACAAAAGUGGCUGUUUCCAAGGAGAAGACUUUUGUUUGCUUUUUCAAAUCUCAUACCCAAUGUUUUUCUUCACAGGUUUUGCACACUAGGGACCCAGAAGCCCUCGGGGACACUGCUGAGAAAGGACUACUCGAAAUAAGACCUGUGGGAGAUAUACAAAUAUUUUAGAGAUCAUGGGAUCUAUUCCAGAGGAAACUAACCAACAGUGACAUCUUCAACUAAAACUACCCCUGGAUAUGACGGUUGCAUGCAUCAUUCCUUUAAUUGAGCAGAGUUAACUGGAUCAAAUUAUUUAUGGGAGAGAGAGGGAAAGCUAUACAGAAUUACAGUAAUUUUUAAUUUCCACCAAUAUAUUCUUUACUGAUUGUGUCUGCCCAUGAGCAAAGGAGACCCGAAGGAAGCAAGGGCCUGGCUGGACGGCGUUGUCACGUGACUGCCUGUCUACACUUGCUGUGCAGAACAUCCGCUCACCUGUACAGCAGGCACAGACAGGCAGUCACAUGACAACCCAGCCUGAGGGACAACCAGCCACUGAAAGAGAGCAGCCCUCACACCAUAGCAUCUACACCAAGAGCUACGACCAAAAUGAGGGGCGCGGGGGCCUGGGGGCUGGAUCUGUUGGUUUAAUACUGAAUUCGUAUGUAUGAUUUUAUUAUAUUAUAUUUUGAUUCAAAUACUGAAACCCACCAAAAAGUAAAGUGAGUGGUGCCGAUGAAAUACAAUAAAACCCAUUUCUGAA